This 355-nucleotide ribosomal RNA is filed under the name Escherichia coli. RNAcentral's name for it is "partial 23S ribosomal RNA". It matches the Rfam family "Bacterial large subunit ribosomal RNA", at positions 1387 to 1744 of the family's 2925-position model. The record is from RNAcentral. Lineage: Bacteria; Pseudomonadati; Pseudomonadota; Gammaproteobacteria; Enterobacterales; Enterobacteriaceae.
ACCCCUAAGGCGAGGCCGAAAGGCGUAGUCGAUGGGAAACAGGUUAAUAUUCCUGUACUUGGUGUUACUGCGAAGGGGGGACGGAGAAGGCUAUGUUGGCCGGGCGACGGUUGUCCCGGUUUAAGCGUGUAGGCUGGUUUUCCAGGCAAAUCCGGAAAAUCAAGGCUGAGGCGUGAUGACGAGGCACUACGGUGCUGAAGCAACAAAUGCCCUGCUUCCAGGAAAAGCCUCUAAGCAUCAGGUAACAUCAAAUCGUACCCCAAACCGACACAGGUGGUCAGGUAGAGAAUACCAAGGCGCUUGAGAGAACUCGGGUGAAGGAACUAGGCAAAAUGGUGCCGUAACUUCGGGAGAA